ACUGCUCAGUAACACGUGGAUAACCUGCCCUUGGGUCCGGCAUAACCCCGGGAAACUGGGGAUAAUUCCGGAUAACGCAUAUGUGCUGGAAUGCUUUAUGCGUCAAAUGGAUUCGUCUGCCCAAGGAUGGGUCUGCGGCCUAUCAGGUAGUAGUGGGUGUAAUGUACCUACUAGCCGACAACGGGUACGGGUUGUGAGAGCAAGAGCCCGGAGAUGGAUUCUGAGACAUGAAUCCAGGCCCUACGGGGCGCAGCAGGCGCGAAAACUUUACAAUGCGGGAAACCGUGAUAAGGGGACACCGAGUGUCAGCAUCAUAUGCUGGCUGUCCAGGUGUGUAAAAUACACCUGUUAGCAAGGGCCGGGCAAGACCGGUGCCAGCCGCCGCGGUAACACCGGCGGCCCGAGUGGUGAUCGUGAUUAUUGGGUCUAAAGGGUCCGUAGCCGGUUUGGUCAGUCCUCCGGGAAAUCUGAUAGCUCAACUAUUAGGCUAUCGGGGGAUACUACCAGACUUGGAACCGGGAGAGGUAAGAGGUACUACAGGGGUAGGAGUGAAAUCUUGUAAUCCCUGUGGGACCACCUGUGGCGAAGGCGUCUUACCAGAACGGGUUCGACGGUGAGGGACGAAAGCUGGGGGCACGAACCGGAUUAGAUACCCAGGUAGUCCCAGCCGUAAACGAUGCUCGCUAGGUGUCAGGCAUGGCGCGACCGUGUCUGGUGCCGCAGGGAAGCCGUGAAGCGAGCCACCUGGGAAGUACGGCCGCAAGGCUGAAACUUAAAGGAAUUGGCGGGGGAGCA
This 795-nucleotide ribosomal RNA is filed under the name uncultured archaeon. RNAcentral describes it as "bacterial SSU rRNA". It matches the Rfam family "Archaeal small subunit ribosomal RNA", at positions 85 to 878 of the family's 1478-position model. The record is from RNAcentral.